RNAcentral lists this ribosomal RNA (253 nucleotides) under uncultured bacterium. Its description in RNAcentral is "partial 16S ribosomal RNA". It matches the Rfam family "Bacterial small subunit ribosomal RNA", at positions 524 to 776 of the family's 1533-position model. The record is from RNAcentral.
UACGUAGGGUGCAAGCGUUGUCCGGAAUUACUGGGCGUAAAGCGCGCGUAGGCGGCUUUGCAAGUCGGGUGUGAAAUCCCCAGGCUUAACCUGGGAACUGCAUUCGAGACUGCAUUGCUAGAGUAUGGGAGAGGGAAGUGGAAUUUCCGGUGUAGCGGUGAAAUGCGUAGAUAUCGGAAGGAACAUCAGUGGCGAAAGCGACUUCCUGGACCAAUACUGACGCUCAUGUGCGAAAGCGUGGGGAGCAAACAGG